GACGAACGCUGGCGGCGUGCUUAACACAUGCAAGUCGAACGGAAAGGCCCUGCUUUUGUGGUGUGCUCGAGUGGCGAACGGGUGAGUAACACGUGAGUAACCUGCCCUUGACUUUGGGAUAACUUCAGGAAACUGGGGCUAAUACCGGAUAGGAGCUCCUGCUGCAUGGUGGGGGUUGGAAAGUUUCGGCGGUUGGGGAUGGACUCGCGGCUUAUCAGCUUGUUGGUGGGGUAGUGGCUUACCAAGGCUUUGACGGGUAGCCGGCCUGAGAGGGUGACCGGCCACAUUGGGACUGAGAUACGGCCCAGACUCCUACGGGAGGCAGCAGUGGGGAUUAUUGCACAAUGGGCGGAAGCAUGAUGCAGCAACGCCGCGUGCGGGAUGACGGCCUUCGGGUUGUAAACCGCUUUCGCCUGUGACGAAGCGUGAGUGACGGUAAUGGGUAAAGAAGCACCGGCUAACUACGUG
RNAcentral lists this ribosomal RNA (468 nucleotides) under uncultured bacterium. Its description in RNAcentral is "partial 16S ribosomal RNA". It matches the Rfam family "Bacterial small subunit ribosomal RNA", at positions 28 to 507 of the family's 1533-position model. The record is from RNAcentral.